This 530-nucleotide ribosomal RNA is filed under the name Proteus mirabilis. RNAcentral's name for it is "partial 23S ribosomal RNA". It matches the Rfam family "Bacterial large subunit ribosomal RNA", at positions 2269 to 2798 of the family's 2925-position model. The record is from RNAcentral. Lineage: Bacteria; Pseudomonadati; Pseudomonadota; Gammaproteobacteria; Enterobacterales; Morganellaceae.
UUUGACUGGGGCGGUCUCCUCCUAAAGAGUAACGGAGGAGCACGAAGGUUGGCUAAGCAUGGUCGGACAUCAUGCGGUUAGUGCAAAGGCAUAAGCCAGCUUGACUGCGAGAGUGACGGCUCGAGCAGGUACGAAAGUAGGUCUUAGUGAUCCGGUGGUUCUGAAUGGAAGGGCCAUCGCUCAACGGAUAAAAGGUACUCCGGGGAUAACAGGCUGAUACCGCCCAAGAGUUCAUAUCGACGGCGGUGUUUGGCACCUCGAUGUCGGCUCAUCACAUCCUGGGGCUGAAGUAGGUCCCAAGGGUAUGGCUGUUCGCCAUUUAAAGUGGUACGCGAGCUGGGUUUAGAACGUCGUGAGACAGUUCGGUCCCUAUCUGCCGUGGGCGUUGGAAGAUUGAGAGGGGUUGCUCCUAGUACGAGAGGACCGGAGUGAACGCACCACUGGUGUUCGGGUUGUCAUGCCAAUGGCAUUGCCCGGUAGCUAAGUGCGGAAGAGAUAACCGCUGAAAGCAUCUAAGCGGGAAACUUGCC